Molecule: ribosomal RNA, 253 nt
Filed under: uncultured bacterium
Lineage: Bacteria
Description: partial 16S ribosomal RNA
Rfam family: Bacterial small subunit ribosomal RNA
Source: RNAcentral
UACAGAGGGCCCAAGCGUUGUUCGGAUUCAUUGGGCGUAAAGGGUGCGUAGGCGGCGCGGUAAGUCGGGUGUGAAAUCUCGGGGCUUAACUCCGAAACUGCAUUCGAUACUGCCGUGCUUGAGGACUGGAGAGGAGACUGGAAUUUACGGUGUAGCGGUGAAAUGCGUAGAUAUCGUAAGGAAGACCAGUGGCGAAGGCGGGUCUCUGGACAGUUACUGACGCUGAGGCACGAAGGCCAGGGGAGCAAACGGG